AAUCAGCACAAUUUAACACACCAAUUAACUUGGUGAUUUCAGGUGUGAUCGGUAACAGCUGAGCUAAUUCUGGAUUGCUAUUACAAAGGGGGUGGAGACCGUUGUAUUUUAAGUAAUAGUAAUGGUUGUUUCACAAAUAAAAAUCCCACUUAAAAGUGUGUAUUAAGGGGGUGGGGGGUGUCCUGAUGUAAAUGCAUGAAGCUCUGAGGCACUGACUUGAAGUUCAAGGGGAUGUUGACUCCUAUAGGCACCGAAUGUUCUCACCACAUCCCAUGUCCAGCUGGCCUAGACUGUUCACCUGUGUCGAUUACAGAAAAGGCAGGUCCUUGAGGAAGCAGAGUUGUUAGACACACGAAUCAGUGCCCUGGAAGAGGACCUGGAUGAGGUGGAGACCAGCGAAGAGGAAGAUGAAGAGGAGGAUAAGCCAGAACGAGUUCAGACCCCAGAACCACACAGACGGAGUUACCGGGACAACGACAGGCCUCGCCGCUCACCCUCUCCACGUUACCGACGCAGCCGCUCACCCAGACGGAGGAGCAGAUCACCCAAGAGGCGGAGCCCCUCCCCCAGGCGAGAACGUCACCGCAGCAAGAGCCCCCGUCGCCACCGUAGCCGCUCCCGAGAAAGACGUCACCGCUCAAAGUCCCCAGGGCAUCACAGAAGCCACAGACAUCGUAGCCACUCCAAAUCCCCAGAAAGGAGUUCAAAAAAGAGCCACAAGAAGAGCCGAAGAGGAAACGAAUGACCCGUUUUGUAUUUUGUUCCCUCUUAUAUUUCCCUCUUCUUUUUCUUUUUUUUUUUAUCUUAAAAGUUAAUGUGCCCACAUUUGUACAUGUGUAUGGACUCCCUUAUAUUUUGUAUUUCAAGUUGGAAUCCGAU
Long non-coding RNA from Esox lucius (northern pike), 879 nucleotides. Lineage: Eukaryota; Metazoa; Chordata; Actinopteri; Esociformes; Esocidae. The record is from Ensembl.